GAAACACGGACCAAGGAGUCUAGCAUGUGCGCGAGUCAUUGGGACUCUAGUAAACCUAAAGGCGCAAUGAAAGUAAAGGUCCGCCUCGCGCGGACCGAGGGAGGAUGGGCCCGUUUACGGGCGGGCCCCGCACUCCCGGGGCGUCUCGUUCUCAUCGCGAGAAGAGGCGCACCCAGAGCGUACACGCUGGGACCCGAAAGAUGGUGAACUAUGCCUGGUCAGGACGAAGUCAGGGGAAACCCUGAUGGAGGUCCGUAGCGAUUCUGACGUGCAAAUCGAUCGUCGGAACUGGGUAUAGGGGCGAAAGACUAAUCGAACCUUCUAGUAGCUGG
RNAcentral lists this ribosomal RNA (332 nucleotides) under Circellium bacchus. RNAcentral describes it as "eukaryotic LSU rRNA". It matches the Rfam family "Eukaryotic large subunit ribosomal RNA", at positions 656 to 954 of the family's 3401-position model. Lineage: Eukaryota; Metazoa; Arthropoda; Insecta; Coleoptera; Scarabaeidae. The record is from RNAcentral.